UGGUGCGACGGUCUAAGCUCAUUGACGUCUGUUUUGCACAUAGGAAGUGAAAAAAUUUUUUCUCGCGCCAU
This 71-nucleotide transfer RNA is filed under the name Anadara antiquata. Its description in RNAcentral is "tRNA-Ala". Lineage: Eukaryota; Metazoa; Mollusca; Bivalvia; Arcoida; Arcidae. The record is from RNAcentral.